CCCUUAGAUGUCCGGGGCCGCACGCGCGCUACACUGAAGGAAUCAGCGUGGCUUUCUCCCUGACCCGAAAGGGUUGGGAAACCCGUUGAAUCUCCUUCGUGAUAGGGAUUGGGGCUUGAAAUUGUUCCCCAUGAACGAGGAAUUCCCAGUAAGCGCGAGUCAUAAGCUCGCGUUGAUUACGUCCCUGCCCUUUGUACACACCGCCCGUCGCUACUACCGAUUGAACUGUUUAGUGAGGGCCUCGGAUUGGUCUCGGCCCGCUCUUUACCGGGCGGCGCCGUUGGUCGAGAAGACGCUCGAACUUGAUCGUUUAGAGGAAGUAAAAGUCGUAACA
RNAcentral lists this ribosomal RNA (334 nucleotides) under uncultured eukaryote. RNAcentral describes it as "partial 18S ribosomal RNA". It matches the Rfam family "Eukaryotic small subunit ribosomal RNA", at positions 1470 to 1796 of the family's 1831-position model. The record is from RNAcentral.